Molecule: ribosomal RNA, 622 nt
Filed under: Escherichia coli
Lineage: Bacteria; Pseudomonadati; Pseudomonadota; Gammaproteobacteria; Enterobacterales; Enterobacteriaceae
Description: partial 23S ribosomal RNA
Rfam family: Bacterial large subunit ribosomal RNA
Source: RNAcentral
CGGGACACGUGGUAUCCUGUCUGAAUAUGGGGGGACCAUCCUCCAAGGCUAAAUACUCCUGACUGACCGAUAGUGAACCAGUACCGUGAGGGAAAGGCGAAAAGAACCCCGGCGAGGGGAGUGAAAAAGAACCUGAAACCGUGUACGUACAAGCAGUGGGAGCCUCUUAAUGGGGUGACUGCGUACCUUUUGUAUAAUGGGUCAGCGACUUAUAUUCUGUAGCAAGGUUAACCGAAUAGGGGAGCCGAAGGGAAACCGAGUCUUAACUGGGCGUUAAGUUGCAGGGUAUAGACCCGAAACCCGGUGAUCUAGCCAUGGGCAGGUUGAAGGUUGGGUAACACUAACUGGAGGACCGAACCGACUAAUGUUGAAAAAUUAGCGGAUGACUUGUGGCUGGGGGUGAAAGGCCAAUCAAACCGGGAGAUAGCUGGUUCUCCCCGAAAGCUAUUUAGGUAGCGCCUCGUGAAUUCAUCUCCGGGGGUAGAGCACUGUUUCGGCAAGGGGGUCAUCCCGACUUACCAACCCGAUGCAAACUGCGAAUACCGGAGAAUGUUAUCACGGGAGACACACGGCGGGUGCUAACGUCCGUCGUGAAGAGGGAAACAACCCAGACCGCCAGCUA